This 253-nucleotide ribosomal RNA is filed under the name uncultured bacterium. RNAcentral's name for it is "partial 16S ribosomal RNA". It matches the Rfam family "Bacterial small subunit ribosomal RNA", at positions 524 to 776 of the family's 1533-position model. The record is from RNAcentral.
UACGUAGGGUGCGAGCGUUAAUCGGAAUUACUGGGCGUAAAGCGUGCGCAGGCGGUUCGUUGUGUCGGCGGUGAAAGCCCCGGGCUCAACCUGGGAAUGGCCGUUGAAACUGGCGAACUGGAGUGUGGCAGAGGGGGGUGGAAUUCCGCGUGUAGCAGUGAAAUGCGUAGAGAUGCGGAGGAACACCGAUGGCGAAGGCAGCCCCCUGGGCUGACACUGACGCUCAGGCACGAAAGCGUGGGGAGCAAAAAGG